AAGCCCUUACCAGUCAGCCUGUUCAAAGAUUUUGGGUGAGCUUAUGCUGAAGUCCUUAGACAGGCAGGUCUGGUGCCUGGAUCAGCAGGUGCUGUCAUCCCUCACUUGGAAUUCUUAGCUCUUGUGAAGAUAUUCUUAUGAAUGGAUAAUUGUUCAGAUUGAUGUGUCUGGGAGGGUGAAUGGAAAAGUCACAGUCAUACUUGGUUAACAUUUGCAUAAAGACUCACUGAAUCGCUGGCACCAGGAACCAGAAAAUAUUGAGUGUCAGGAAGUCCCAACC
Long non-coding RNA from Suricata suricatta (meerkat), 280 nucleotides. RefSeq lists it as uncharacterized. The transcript is spliced from 3 exons. The record is from RefSeq and is a predicted model, not a curated record. Lineage: Eukaryota; Metazoa; Chordata; Mammalia; Carnivora; Herpestidae.